AUGGCUGAGAUGGUCAAGUCUGUCAUUGUUGGAGAAGCAGUUAGCCGGAUUAUUUCUGGUAUUGCCCCCACCAGCAAAAGGCCGGACAGAUCAGUUGAAGAAGUAGCAAGGGGUUGUGGCCUAGAGAGGCUGGAGAUGGCGCACAUCAAAAUGGAGGCCGCACUCCAAACGUCCAACAAGUGGCAGAUCACCGACACAUCCCUGCUCCAUUGGCGAAAGAAGCUGAAGCGCGCCCAAGACUGCAACGACGUAGCGCGCACAUGCAGGCAACUUUCUCUGGAAGAAGACGAGGUGGAGCAGGUGGUAAGGCAAUCCUCAUUUGCUAGACGGAUGGCUCAUGCGACCAAGGUUUUCAUCUCCUCUUUCCUCGGCCGCGACAAUGAUCACUGCUCAACAGCUAGCACCGCAGCCGUCCGAAGAUUCGAGAGACUGGCGGAUGGUGCUGGUGAAUUUAUAAGAUUUGUGCAGCUCAGUGGAACACCACGACAACACCUGUUCUUCGACCCUCUGAUUGGGCAUAUCUUCGCAGGGAAAUCUUUGCUUUAUCAGGUGUUGCAUCCGGGAGGCCAGUUUCACGUAUUCGGCAUACGGCCAAUGGGGUUCGAGGAGCGAGGGUUGGAGGUCAUCCUAUCCUUCGUGUAUGAAGAUUGCAAGCUGCCCAAGAACAGUUUCCGCCUCGGAUUCAUGUUGCGUGUUUCUGAGAGUACAGACAUAAUCGGAACUACAAUCAAGUGCUUGCGGCUGCUGACGCCCCACUUCAAAUCCAUAGCCGAAAUUUUCAUCAACGAGAUCAGGCAGCUCCCCACACAAGAUUUCUUCUGUGUGCCACAAGAGGUUGCUAAUUCACACCUGGAACAUUGGAAUCACAUCCACACAACUUUGACUAGAUGGUUCCGACCAGUUCCGUUAUGCUGUCAAGGAUACGAGUCGCAUGACGAUAUGCCUUCUUGUGGCAGCGGCAGUAGCGGAAACAAAUUGAAAAUUUCAAGCAUCUUUCCAGAACCAGUCUGGCAAGUGUUUUUGCAGCGUCAAAUCUCAGUAUCCGAGUACAAUAGUCAAUCGCAGAGAUCAACCGCAGCAACUGGUAAUCGAUGUGCCGGCGACACAUCUACUUCUCCGGAGAAUUUCGCACCUUUGAAGCUAGUGAUUUUAUAUUUUAUUAAUGCCUCAUCACCCGAGAAUCCUGAGUCUACAAGCGAGGACUCUGCGAUAGAGGCGAUCGAUGGAGAGUAGCAACACCUCACCCAUGUAAAUGUUCACCCGCACCAACUCGAUGAGAUGCUUCUCCCGAAGGCGAUAGAUUAUCUUUGUCAUAACACCGAGGCUACAAAUUACCAGAUAUGUUGGACAUCUAACCAUGGCAGUGCACACCUAUACGUGGAGAAGACAAGGAUGCUCGGGGCAUGCAUGGACGUCACAACCACACGACGAGUUGUUUGUAAGAUGCUUCAUCAGGAGCAGCACGAUAGACGAAUAGGGAAAGUGCAGUUGAAGCUGGUAGCUACAUAUCUCCUCAAACUAUGGGUCGUGCGUUCUUCGGAGAGGCUGCGGAGCUUGUUUUCGGCAUGGAUCGACUAG
This 1578-nucleotide ribosomal RNA is filed under the name Triticum aestivum (bread wheat). Its description in RNAcentral is "partial small subunit ribosomal RNA". Lineage: Eukaryota; Viridiplantae; Streptophyta; Magnoliopsida; Poales; Poaceae. The record is from RNAcentral.